RNAcentral lists this ribosomal RNA (468 nucleotides) under uncultured bacterium. RNAcentral describes it as "partial 16S ribosomal RNA". It matches the Rfam family "Bacterial small subunit ribosomal RNA", at positions 28 to 507 of the family's 1533-position model. The record is from RNAcentral.
GACGAACGCUGGCGGCGUGCUUAACACAUGCAAGUCGAACGGAAAGGCCCUGCUUUUGUGGGGUGCUCGAGUGGCGAACGGGUGAGUAACACGUGAGUAACCUGCCCUUGACUUUGGGAUAACUUCAGGAAACUGGGGCUAAUACCGGAUAGGAGCUCCUGCUGCAUGGUGGGGGUUGGAAAGUUUCGGCGGUUGGGGAUGGACUCGCGGCUUAUCAGCUUGUUGGUGGGGUAGUGGCUUACCAAGGCUUUGACGGGUCGCCGGCCUGGGAGGGUGACCGGCCACAUUGGGACUGCGAUACGGACCAGACUCCUACGGGAGGCAGCAGUGGGGAAUAUUGCACAAUGGGCGGAAGCCUGAUGCAGCAACGCCGCGUGCGUGAUGACGGCCUUCGGGUUGUAAACCGCUUUCGCCUGUGACGAAGCGUGAGUGACGGUAAUGGGUAAAGAAGCACCGGCUAACUACGUG